GACGAACGCUGGCGGCGUGCUUAACACAUGCAAGUCGAACGAAGAGCGAUGGAAGCUUGCUUCUAUCAAUCUUAGUGGCGAACGGGUGAGUAACGCGUAAUCAACCUGCCCUUCAGAGGGGGACAACAGUUGGAAACGACUGCUAAUACCGCAUACGAUCUAAUCUCGGCAUCGAGGAUGGAUGAAAGGUGGCCUCUAUGUAUAAGCUAUCACUGAAGGAGGGGAUUGCGUCUGAUUAGCUAGUUGGAGGGGUAACGGCCCACCAAGGCGAUGAUCAGUAGCCGGUCUGAGAGGAUGAACGGCCACAUUGGGACUGAGACACGGCCCAGACUCCUACGGGAGGCAGCAGUGGGGAAUCUUCCGCAAUGGACGAAAGUCUGACGGAGCAACGCCGCGUGAGUGAUGACGGCCUUCGGGUUGUAAAGCUCUGUUAAUCGGGACGAAAGGCCUUCUUGCGAAUAGUGAGAAGGAUUGACGGUACCGGAAUAGAAAGCCACGGCUAACUACGUGCCAGCAGCCGCGGUAAUACGUAGGUGGNCAGCGUUGUCCGGAAUUAUUGGGCGUAAAGCGCGCGCAGGCGGAUAGGUCAGUCUGUCUUAAAAGUUCGGGGC
Molecule: ribosomal RNA, 611 nt
Filed under: uncultured Veillonella sp.
Lineage: Bacteria; Bacillati; Bacillota; Negativicutes; Veillonellales; Veillonellaceae
Description: bacterial SSU rRNA
Rfam family: Bacterial small subunit ribosomal RNA
Source: RNAcentral